UAAAAAAAAAUGAGAAAAAAAGAUAAAUGAAGGAAAAGAAAGAGAAGGCAAGAAAGAGCAGGUAUUUCCCUUGACCUUAAUGAUCCUGGUUGCUAACUGCAGUGGAAUUCUGACCCCUCACCGUUGACUCUCACUGUUAUGUAAGCACGGGCUUUGAAACGUCUCUCUGGCUUUUGUAUGCUGAUAGGAGAAUCACAGCACAGAACAGAUGUAGUCAGGAGGUGAACAUGCAAUCAAAGAGCCGCCGUUGGCAGAAGCUUGACAGGCUAGACUGACAUAAGGGGAGACUGGAAGCCCAAAGAAAAACCCACCGGACGACAUUCUACAGAACCCACCCUCUUCCUCUGAGAGGGCCCUGUCCAAGUGAAGGUGGAGGACAUGAUGGACUUGGAGAUACAGAACCACUGAAACAAGGAGGAGGCUACAUACAACAUUCAAGACGGUAAACAAGUGUGAGAUACCCAGGUGGAAAUAGAGAAGUGGGGAGGGGGAACAACACAUCCGUCGCUCUCACGGAUCCUUCUCGCCCAGUUCUCUUAAAUUUCUGCACUCUUGAGGUAGUCUAGAUCCACUCCAUUUUUGUGCUGUCUACAUUCCUUUCCACUCUAGGUCUGAAAAAUACCUUCCGUCAGACCCGGAGUCUUCCUGGAUGCCAAGAGAAAUGGGAUGAAGUUUGGGAAGAAAGGGGGUGGGAACUUAAGCCGAUUCGAUCCAUACUGGAUCCACUAACGUUUCUGACUCUGUACUACGCUUCCGGGAAGGUACAGAAGACACAAAUUGUAGGGCAAGUGAGCCUUACAGACAGGCAUAAGAACUGGAGAGGUGAGGCUCAAAUCCUGGGAAUCUCAGAGAUCUGAGAUGGUGGGGUGGAACUGCUCCUUCACAGCCUCAAGGCCUGCUCUGGAACACAUAACAAAGACCACCAACUGAGAAGACCCAGGGUAGUCUCUGAAUGCAGUACCUGAAGUCCUUCCCCAGCAAAUCCCAAACUCAGCCAAAAGAAAACAUUUACCACCAAAUCCCACCCACUCCCCCAAGUUUUAUAUAGUCAGUCCUAUCCCCAUGGGAUAAAGCACACAGGGUUUUCUGACAGUGGCUGUCUUCACUGUAACAUUUGGGGAAGAGCUCCCUCUCCGAAAGCACUCGUGGUUGGAUCUUGGAUCCCUGUGGCUAGCCAGGCUCUCACUGCCUGCAGAGACUCACGUCAGAGCAGCAGCAGCUGAUGCAGCCACAGCUGCCACCACUGUCACUGCAGCUGUUGUGGGACCUGGGACCCAGGCUACCUGAGGAACCUGUCUGUCCCAGGCUGCUCUUCACCCUCCUUGACCUGGCAAACAGAGACACCGGACACAACAGAGGGAAGUGGGCAUCCAGACACCCCUGGCAGAGAGGCAGAAUUCAAUACCACAGCAAAUGAGAGCCUUGAUUCAUUCUCAGAAGAAAAGUAGUUGAAAGAAAGGGUAUGGAAUUUAGAAUCGUAGGACUGGGUUUAAAUUCCUGCACAUGCUACGAACAGCACGUUAAUCUUAGCAUAGUUACUGAACACCCUUUGUUUCAUUAUCUGUGAAGCGGAACUGAUAAGACAACCAUCUCCUGGUGGUAAGAGCAGCAGCAACUUACUAGCAUCUGGGGAUUUUUGUUUCUUUGUUUAUUUUUGGUUUUCCAAGACGGGAUUUCACUGUGUAGCCCUGGCUGUCCUGGAACUCACUCUGUGGACCAGGCUGGCCUUGAACUCACAGAGAUCCGGCUGCUUCUGCAUUCCCAAACACCGGGAUUAAAGGCAUGCACCAUCACCAGUCAGCUACCAUUCCAGUAACCCAGGAAUCGAUCAGAAGCCAAGGCCAGAGUGCUGCUGUUGCAACGGCAACGAGUGAGCUAUUAAGAAAGCCUGCAACAAAUCUCCAGCCUCCGGUGUCUUUCAGAAGCCAGAACUAUAGACCUGUGGCUUACUGGACAGUCACGGGCAAGGUGAACUACACAUCACUAAGUCUAUUCUGGUUUAACCCACGGAUAUGGAUGACGAAAGGAGAAAUUCAGAGAGACACAACAGCGUGCAUUUUCAAUCUCCCACUUCAAGCCAAAAGCCACUCGGAUCGUUUGAGCUGUGUGCUGGAGAAAACUGGUUUGGAGAAACCUGCCUCUCGAGGGCUAACUUCAGGUAAACCAUGCUUCUGGGCUGCAGGAUGCCUCCUGAGAGGGUGGACUACUCUGCUGGAUGGCUUUCCUUUGCCAACCCACUCCUUCCCAGUUGUGCCUCUGUGGACACCGACUUCUGUAGCCCUGUGAUGAACAACUCCAGCAGCCAGGCUCGAUCUGUUUUUACCUCUGUGUGAGAUCUCCCUGCUUUCCUCCAGCUAUCAGGUUCACGAAGAGGCUCCUCCCCUCGCACAUCUUCCUCGGGUCCGUUCUGUUUCCAUGGGAUUUGGGCUGGAUUCAGGAUGAGCACGGAUGAGGAGGAAAAGCCACAGGAAGAGUAAAAAUACCUGGCACUUGACUUCUUCAGACACAGUCUGGAAGAUGUUGUCUUUUCCAUCAACACCCAUGAUCUUAGAAAUAAUGGUUCCUAGUUUACUGAUUUUUCUAAAGUCACUCAGAAUUGGGAGGAGAAAUCAAAAUUUUCUCAUCUCUAAGCAGCUUGACUCAUCAUAACUCCAACCCCUAAAAGGAGUUUGUUCUUGAUGUUGGAAACCAUCUGCAGCUCUGGACCCAGUCUUCCUCAUUCAGUAAUACCAAGUAGAAGUGUGUCCACUGGUCUUAAACCUCUGUCUUCCGUGACCAUUAAACUAUAAACCACAAAAGGAUUCACAGACUUCUCUUCAUUCCCAGAAUUAAGAAAUCCCACUGAGAUCUGGGAUUCAAGGGCACCUCUUGAUUAAAUUUGUCAUUCAAUUGGCUUCCUAUGAAGCUCAAGACUGAAGAAGUUUUUUUCUAUUUGCAAGUAAAGAAAUCAAUAUUUUCAUAA
Molecule: small RNA, 2962 nt
Filed under: Rattus norvegicus (Norway rat)
Lineage: Eukaryota; Metazoa; Chordata; Mammalia; Rodentia; Muridae
Description: target of myb1 like 3 membrane trafficking protein (Tom1l3)
Source: RNAcentral